This 273-nucleotide ribosomal RNA is filed under the name uncultured bacterium. RNAcentral's name for it is "partial 16S ribosomal RNA". It matches the Rfam family "Bacterial small subunit ribosomal RNA", at positions 524 to 796 of the family's 1533-position model. The record is from RNAcentral.
GACGUAGGGGGCGAGCGUUGUCCGGAAUUAUUGGGCGUAAAGCGCGCGCAGGCUGCCCAUUAAGUCGGUUGUGAAAACCCGUGGCUCAACCACGGACCUGCAUCCGAUACUGGUGGGCUUGAGGCAGGUAGGGGAGAUUGGAAUUCCUGGUGUAGCGGUGAAAUGCGCAGAUAUCAGGAGGAACACCGGUGGCGAAGGCGGAUCUCUGGGCCUGUCCUGACGCUCAGGCGCGAAAGCUGGGGGAGCAAACAGGAUUAGAAACCCCCGUAGUCC